CCUGGGAGCCGGAGGGCGCAGGGCCGCCUCGUGGUCCUCCCACCCCAGGGGGCGAUCCGCGGCCUGGAGGGCUGGAGACGCGCCAGCGCGGAGGGGAAGGAACGCGUUUGAACCUGUGCGCUGGCCGGGCAGGCCUGGGGGCAAGGGAGGUGUCUCUGGGAAAGGCAGAGCUGUCUCCUCCCCGCAGCCAGGUCGGAGACCUUUGCGGGCCCCCGCAUCUGAUCCCAAUCCUUCUGAGGUGUUUAUUUUCUCUCCUCGGUGGAAGUUAUCUUUGUGUCUUUGCCAGAAAGGCCGCCCGCGGUUUGCAGUGCCCUCCCCCCAGAAGUAUUCCCUCCGUCCGAGGACCUGGGAGCAGUCCCCCGCCCCCGCCCCGCUCUUUCUGCUUCCUCUGGGACCCCACCCCCAGUUCUCAGCCCCUGGCUUCUCCUGGCCCAGGGUCACAGGCCCGGAGGGGGCUGCUAGCCGCGUGUCCACACACUUGGCUCUGCCCUGGGAAGCCCCAGGAAAAGUCCUCAGGAGCCAUGGCUAGCAGGGUGCCAGCCUGUGCCAGACACCAAAUCACUUACUGAAGUCACAGGCUCUUGCCAGAUCAACCUGGGGCCUGGGCUGCCUUUGAGCUCAGAAGGAGGAGCCCCAGAGGCUGAAGAAGCCCCUGCUGGCUGCCAGCUGGGUCAGGGUGAUGUAUCUUGGCAGGCGUCUGAAAACACCGUGCCCGCCCAGACUUUGGGCUCUGCCCCUUGGUCACCUUAUCGCUGAGUUUUUCUGCAAAUUGUACCCUUCUCUAACAGAGGAGGAAACGAGCCAGGUGCAGACAGUAAUUCAUUCUUGUGUAUGAUUUUGAGGCUCAGGGUCCAAGGAGGGUCCCCCACCACUGCUUUGGCUCCCCUGCUUUCAUUGUCACCCCAUUGCCUUCACUGACCUUCAUGGCCACUGUGCAAGGACCCACAGAGGAUGUUAGAGCCUCCGCCCCUGCUCUUGGGUUCAGGUCAGAACCCAGGUUGUCACGGUCAAGGCACAAGGUGCUACACAGGAGCAGGGCAGACAAGAUGCUGCCUUUCUCUGGCCCAAGGAUCUCAGACGAACUGGUGACCAGAGCUGAUCCUAUACCUUGGAGCCCUUUUUGAGCGUCUGCUGUGAAAGCAUAAGUGCAAAAGGAACAGAGAGGUGACCUCUGAUUGGAACAAGCAUGUUAGCUGACAGGGUAGGGAAUUCAGUAUUUCCAGAGCAAACAGCAGGAGCAAAGGCUAAUAGCGCCAGGCAGUUUGGAGGCGGGGUUUAGGAACUUAGCAAAUAACAUGCGUUCUGCCCAACAGAACUCCGCGAUGCCGGAACACCUUGCUUGGGUCCCAAACAUUUAUUGACCCCCUUCUUAGGUGCAAAGUUCUAAAGUCCUCACUGAAUCCUAUGAUGCAGAGACUAUUAUUCCUGUUUGACAGACGAGGAGCCUGAGGCACAGGGAGGUUAAGUACCAUGCCCUAGAUCACAAGGCUUUAAAUGGCCGAGCCAGGAUUUUCUAAAGUGUACAAUUCGCUGAUUCCUUUUUUUUUUUUUUUUAGUAGACUUAUCAAGCUGUGCGACCGACAGCACAAUUCAGUUUUAGAAUAUUUUCAUUCCCCCAGAAUUUUCUUCAUAAGGCAGAAACCAAUAUUCAAACGGAGGCCGUGGGGGCUCCAGAGACCACGCCCUUAGCCCACUUGCUGCAUUGACUUUGGGGAAGAGAAUCCAAGGACAUUCUCUACAUUUUUGCCUGCGCUGCCCUGGCUGCUGAGAGGGUCCAGUACCUCCCGAGAGAGAAAUGGGGGCCUGGUGCCCUGGCACCUCCAGCCAGCUGCUGUCUUCUCCAGCAGGGCUGGAGCCCAAGGAGGCCGCUCCUCCCGUCCCCCAGGGCAGGGCUGAACCUCCCGCUGACUCAGCCUGGUUGCACCACGUGGAGGAGUGAGAAGCAACAUGCAC
Phacochoerus africanus (Common warthog) is the source of this 1953-nucleotide long non-coding RNA. RefSeq lists it as uncharacterized. The record is from RefSeq and is a predicted model, not a curated record. NCBI's taxonomy places the organism in Eukaryota, Metazoa, Chordata, Mammalia, Artiodactyla, Suidae. The transcript is spliced from 2 exons.